CGCAGGUUCAGAACAAAGGGCUUGAGCAAGAGGACGAAGCCCAGGGCCCAACGGGGACAGCAGGAGUGGAAACAGGGGAAGACGCCAGGGGCAUGGGCAGAGCUCCUGACCCCAGGAUGGACCUCUCUGUGCUGUCAAGUCACAGGGAGGCCCAGGCUGCCCUCUCCACUGCCCCCGGGGUGACCUGAACCGUGCAGAACGCUGAACAAAUCAACGCCCUUUCCAGGGAAGCGGAAUCCAAAGUCAGAGCCUGUUCCUCCACUUUUGAGAGGCACCAGGAUGUGCCUCUCGCUUGCCCAAACCCCCAGACUCGGGACUCAGGGCUGGGCUCUCUGCGCAUGAGCUAAUGCCGCACGCAGCACAGGGUGGCCAAGAACAGGACUCUGUCCCCUGUCCCACAUGAGCGCCACCUCCAAGCCUGCCUACCGUGGACCACUGUCAAGGUGAACGCCCGGGGGGAUGGCCCUCGUGGGACCACGUGAGGUGCAAGAGUCCCACGGGAUCACCAGAUAUAAAGAAUGUUCCCGGUGCGAUGUGAAUUUCAGGUAGGACCAUAUGAAACUGCUGUAAACCA
Long non-coding RNA from Homo sapiens (human), 574 nucleotides. The record is from Ensembl. NCBI's taxonomy places the organism in Eukaryota, Metazoa, Chordata, Mammalia, Primates, Hominidae.